GGGGAUGUAGCUCAGUGGUAUAGCAUCCGCUUAGCAUGCAGAAGGCCCGUGGUCCGAUCCCCCAAAUCUCCA
RNAcentral lists this transfer RNA (72 nucleotides) under Nematostella vectensis (starlet sea anemone). It matches the Rfam family "tRNA". Rfam says of the family: Transfer RNA (tRNA) molecules are approximately 80 nucleotides in length. Lineage: Eukaryota; Metazoa; Cnidaria; Anthozoa; Actiniaria; Edwardsiidae. The record is from Rfam by way of RNAcentral.